GGCUUGAUGAGAACAAACCCUGUCCGUUGGAUCAUCUUUGGGCGCCUUAUGAUUUGUACAAGCCCCGUCAGCAGGGGAAAUUGAAGUUACAAACAUGGCAGCAGCAGUUGUUGGGUUUGGGAUUCUCUAGUGGUGGAAGUAGCACAAAUUUGAUUGAAUUGUCCAGUUAUUUCAUUUGAUUUUUUUAUUUUUUUAUUUUCACAAAAAAAAAAAAUUAAUAUUGGAUUUUCAAUUAGGUUUGUACAGAUUGAUUAAUUUGGUGGGGGAUACAUUUUAUGGAAUUAUUUGGAGUUCCAUUGAUUUGGAACAAUUUUGGGAUACAUUGGCUUAUUGUAUUUACAAAGCAAAUUAUGAAUCUUUAUUUGUUUCAACAUUGGUUGGUAUUGAAUUCGAUAUUGUGUUAUUCAUUUGCUCGUCAUUAUUAUAGUUAGCUCAAGACCAGAAAAUUAUUGUAUAUUUUAUAUAACAUUUAUAUAAGAGUUCAACAAUCGUCCGACUGUAUGCAAAUUUCGUUGCAAGCUUCAUAUAAUUUCGAAUGCAUAUUUCAUUGUAAAUUUCAUAUGCUUUCG
This 569-nucleotide long non-coding RNA is filed under the name Olea europaea subsp. europaea. Lineage: Eukaryota; Viridiplantae; Streptophyta; Magnoliopsida; Lamiales; Oleaceae. The record is from RNAcentral.